AUUUUUUUCUUAUAUCUCGGAGUUUCUAUCAAAAUGUAAAAGAAGUAGAAAUUCAAAACAGCUAUAGAUCUGACCAUUCACCAAUAGUUCUACAUUUUAAAAUAAGUGAUUUCAAUAUUGGGAAGGGUUUGUGGAAAUUUAAUAAUAGUUUAUUAUAUGAUAUAGAAUAUGUUAAAUCUGUUAAAGAAAAAAUAAAACAAGUAAAAGAUCAAUAUGCAACUUUAGUAUACAAUAGAGACUCACUAGACCAGAUUGAUUGCUUAGAUAUUCAAUUUACAAUAAAUGAUCAGCUGUUCUUAGAAACAUUAAUGACAGAAAUUAGGGGUAAAACAAUUUCCUUUGCAUCAUAUAAAAAAGAAAGAAAAAAAUAAAUUGGAAAAUGCUUUAGUAAAUGAAAUUCAAAAAUUAGAAGAAAAUAUACAAACCACAGAAGCUCUUGAAGAUCUCAACCAAAAGAAAUCUAAAUUACAAAUUUUAAGACAAGAAAAAAUGCGUGGUCAUUAUGUUCGCUCAAAAAUGCAAUGGAUAGAAGAAGGAGAAAGAUCCUCAAAAUAUUUUCUCAACUUAGAAACUAAGAACUUUGUUAAUAAAACAAUUCCAAGACUAGUCAAUAAUGAAGGCUGUUUAAUAAACAAACAAGAACAUAUUUUAUUGGAAGCUAAAAACUUUUAUAAAAAUUUAUAUUCAAAGAAAGAUACAAUAAAUAGUGUUGAUCUCAAUAAGGAAAUUCCAUUUUUAGACGUUCCCAAGUUAACAAAUGAAAUAAGGGAUACCCUUGAGGGAAAAAUCUCCUAUUCAGAAUUAACAGCUGCUAUUAAAAGAAUGAAAAGUAACAAAAGCCCAGGAUCUGAUGGAUACACCAGUGAGUUUUUUAAAUUCUUUUGGAUAGAUUUAGGUAAAUUUGUUCUUAGAUCAAUCAACUAUGGGUAUAAUAUGGGUGAAAUGUCAGUAUCCCAAAAAAGAGGGAUAAUUACUUGUAUACCAAAGGGAGAUAAACCAAGACAAUAUAUGAAAAACUGGCGACCAAUAAGUCUUUUAAACACAAUAUAUAAACUCGGGUCUAGCUGUAUAGCAGAGCGUUUGAAGUCUAUUUUAUCACUUCUAAUAAAUAAUGAUCAAACAGGGUUCAUUCCUGGAAGAUAUAUUGGUGAAAAUACUAGACUAAUUUAUGAUAUUUUAUUGUAUACA
Molecule: long non-coding RNA, 1188 nt
Filed under: Mytilus galloprovincialis (Mediterranean mussel)
Lineage: Eukaryota; Metazoa; Mollusca; Bivalvia; Mytilida; Mytilidae
Source: RNAcentral